AUGAUUACAACAUGUGGUAAAGUGGAAGGGCCUAUUGGAAUAGGCCAAUGAUGUUAGAUUUGAUUAAAGCUUAAUGAGGGAUGACUCGUCAUUGGAUUGACCGUCCAACAACUCCAACCAGCAAGAUCUCUAUUUAGUAGCCUUAGUGGAAGAAAUCCGGAGAGGAUCUCUUUCCUUCUGCUCCAACCAUACUCCUUCAAGCUGACGUGUUUCUCCCUGACCAUUUCGCUUCUCACUCCAAUUUUCUAUUAUUUAUUACAAAAUUAAAAGAAAACGGACACGAAUACGACACCGUAUCGUUUUUCCGCUUAUAUACGUUAUCUUCCCUCUACAAGGCUCAAUGUUUCUCUGUCAAUGGCUACGCUUUCAGCUACUCAGCUCCUCCAUCUUCCACUCCUACUGCCAACUCGGAAUCCCCGCCAUGCCCAUUUUCCCUUUCCCUCACUAAACCCUAACCCUAGGCUCUUCUCCUUCAACGGCGUCGUAUCUAGUUGUCGUCCAUUACAGGCCAUUCUCAACACUACCCUUGUCGCCACCGAUGCCGAAUCCGAACAAGAACCCCUCACUGUCUGUUAAAUCUGCCAAUCCCACGUGCCAACCACAUGCUUUACAUAAUGGAAGAACUAGGGUUCGUCGCGCCGACGCCCGUAUGCAGGCUCUGCCGACUCUAUUUUUUGGCUGCGACUGCAUACUCCACGCGCAGGUCAAAAUUUUGGUGCCGUAGGUGUGUUUUGUAGCCAAAGUUUGAAUCUUGUUAUGUGAUUUUUGGUAAUUAGACAGGUUCUAGGAAGACGCUGACGUACCUACUUUUGAUAUUUUCUGCUAUGAACACUCGGAGAUCGGCUGUUCAAGCUCUCGUUGUGGUCCCCACUGGGGAACUUGGGAUGCAAGUUACGAAGGUUGCUCGGAUGUUGGCCGCGAAGCCUAAGGAAGUUGAAUUGGAGCAGAAAUUGUGUACUAUUAUGGCGUUUUUAGAUGGAGGAAUGUUGACCAGGCACAAGAGUUGGUUAAAAGUGCUGCAUUUUAGUUUAUAUUGUUCAUUUUGUUUUACAUGUUUUCUAUGACUUAGGUUUCUGUAGUUGUAUGCUGUUACGAAGAGAUAUUGUAUUUGAAUGAUGUGGUUUAAUCGGUGCAUCAAUGCUGUUUCAGGCGGAGCCCCCUACUAUUGUGGUGGCAACCAUUGGGAGUUUGUCCAAAUGCUUGAGAAACAGAUGAUUAAGCUUGAAUCGAUGCUAGUGCUGGUAAUUGAUGAGAUAUGCCGUAAAAACAGAAGGAACAAAGCCUUGCUAUCCUUAUUACAGUCUGAUGCACCGUAGUCUUCAAUUAUUUUUGUUGGAGAGCAGGUUUUCAUCACAUAUCCCUCUUUGUGAUUUUGUUUUCAUGUUGAAGUAAUCAUAUGGUAUUGUCCUGCAGCUGGGCAUAACUCUGAUUUGAACUUAAGUAUUGCUCAUAAUUUUAUUAAUGGUUUGCCCAGAAGGUAAACCUCUAAUGAAGAUGCCACUUAGGCGUGGUUCAUACACAAGUGCUAGAGAUAUAUCUAAAAUUUUAAAGCUUAUAAUCCGUAAUUGUUGAUUUAAUUUUAAGUUUACAUUCUGAAUGAUAUAAGUGGGCUAUCCAUUCUAUUAAGGUAAUCUCCAACUAAGCCGGCCAAAGGGCCAUAGGCCAAAACGUGGCUCGUUUUGACACAAAACUCAUCUCCAAUAGAGGGCUGGGCCAAAAAGUUUGGGACUCAUUGGGCCAUAAAUCAACCAAAUGGCUAGCGAGCUAGAAUAAGAAAGACAGCAAGCCAGCCCAAUUUUUGAAAGCCUAAAUGUGUCUAACGAUAAAUGGGCGGAGCGAAGACGAGAAGAUGAGAAGUUCGAUGAAGAAAACGAAGCAUGGCGCAAUACAACAUUUAUGGCAGUAAUGGCUGGGGCCAUGGCGUGUGAGGAAAUUCAAGAACAAUCUUAAUGGGGUGGUCUGUUGUUUGUCGCUCUUACAAACCAUGAAAAAGAUAGAUCGCACAUGAGACUCUGAUGAACAACUAUUUCAAUUCAAACACAAUGUAACCAUAAGAGGAUAUCAGACAUUGCUUCCGGAUGAGGUGUCAUGUCUUCAAGUGUUUGCAUCAUGAUGUCCAACAUGUCAAUCUAUACUUUCGGCAGAAGAUUGAUAAAGCAUGUCGCUCUGGUUUCUCACCUCACCAAAAGGUUAUUGUUGCACUUCGAAUGCUGGCCAAUACCUCCCCAACUGAUGCGAGCGAUGAUACAUAUGAUCUUGCUCGGCUCAUUUGCAAAGCUGAAGAAUGUGGUUUUUUGGGCAUGAUAUAGUCAUUAAAUUGCAUGCAUUGGCAAUGGAAAAGCUAUCCCACCAUAUGGCAAUGAGGAUUUAGCGGAAGAUCAAGAAAGCCAAUUAUUGUGUUAGAGGCGGUUGCCACAGGGAUUUGACAUGCUUUCUUUGGAGUCCCAGGAUCAGAAAAUGACAUUACAGUACUCAUACAUUCACCCCUCUUUAAUAACCUGACGAAUGGUGAAUCACCUCAACAAGCGUCAACAAUAUGUGAUAUUACCUAGCAGAUGACAUCUACCUAAAAUGGGUGAUACUUGUCCAAGCAAUUGCAAACCCUGUGGAUGGCACCGAAAAGUGGUUUACCUUACAACAAGCGGCGUACCAGAAAGAUGUUGAGAGAUAUUUUGGUAUUCUAUAAGUUUGAUUGAAAAUCAUUAAAGAACCAAUAAGAGGGUGGAGUCAAGAUAAAUUAAACUUCAUCAUGAUGUCGUGCAUUAUAUUACACAACAUAAUUGUGGAGGAUGAGCAAGAUGACUAUAUUGAUGAAAAGUUUGAUGACGACUAAUAUGAUCCAAAUAGGACAAGGAGGGCUCAUGUGAGAAUAUAUGAUGGGCCUAAUUUGCCUCUGUAUGCAAGAACAACUAACGUAUCUUUAAAUGAAUACAUAAGGCGUCAUAGGAUCAUACGUUCGCGUAUCACAAACAAAUACUUACAACAUGAUCUUGUUUCACAUCUUUGAGCCAAAAGAACAAUGGAGUAGGCGUAAUAAACCAAAUGUUGUUUAUGUUUCAAUAACUCCCCUAAGUAAUACUAGGGUGGAAAUUAUGUUAUUAUUUGUUAAAUGUUGUUUAAGUUUCAAUAAC
Malus domestica (apple) is the source of this 3131-nucleotide non-coding RNA. Lineage: Eukaryota; Viridiplantae; Streptophyta; Magnoliopsida; Rosales; Rosaceae. The record is from RefSeq and is a predicted model, not a curated record.